Molecule: ribosomal RNA, 256 nt
Filed under: uncultured bacterium
Lineage: Bacteria
Description: partial 16S ribosomal RNA
Rfam family: Bacterial small subunit ribosomal RNA
Source: RNAcentral
UACGUAGGGUGCGAGCGUUGUCCGGAAUUACUGGGCGUAAAGAGCUCGUAGGCGGUUUGUCGCGUCGUCUGUGAAACUUCUGCAACUCAAUUGUAGGCGUGCAGGCGAUACGGGCAGACUUGAGUACUACAGGGGGAGACUGGAAUUCCUGGUGUAGCGGUGAAAUGCGCAGAUAUCAGGAGGAACGACCGGUGGCGAAGGCGGGUCUCUGGGUAGUAACUGACGCUGAGGAGCGAAAGCGUGGGUAGCGAACAGG